CAUAUGCUGAACUCCAAACUUUAAAUUAAGUCACAUACUAGAUUUAACAGCUUUAGGCCAUGAAUUUGUAAACUUAUCCACUCUCUGCAUGCUCAAGAUCUCACCUAUUUGCCAAGUGUGCUAUACUGGGCACAGAUGCCUUGCCCCAGCAUCCCUACUUACUAUGUUCUAACUCUCAGACAAAAUGAAUUUCCCUUACAAAAUGGCUACAAUGAGAUCUCGCACAGUUACAGAAAGCUGUGGAGGAAUACUAAUGAAAAAAGAAAUAAUUAAAAGCCCAAACACCGCUAUAGCAGUUUUCAGAGCAGUAAAAUUGGUGCAUAAUGAAUGAUAAGAAGCUCAGCUUGUAAAUGCAACCGCUUCUAACUGCAAAGGGCACCCUGCUGUUACUGUCACUGUUGGGAAACCUCUCCCAUUACUUUAACAGCGUUAUAGAUUCACUAGCAAAUACAAGCUCUUCUGCAGUAUCACUGCUACAUAAAUCUACUGCAUAUUUUACAACUGACAUCACGUAUUCCAUUUUGUAUGAUUUCUUGAAUUCAGAGCCAAUUUCUGCCUUUCUCACCUAUCAUACACACACAUAUUUGUGGAGGAAGACUUCAGUACAAACAGAGCACACAUCAGCAAGCUGCUCCUUAAGCCUGCUUAAGACCAUUCCCUCGCUGGCACUGAUGCUAACAACCUGAAUCAGCCAAAGAAACAGGUUUAAAACUACAGGGACCCAAUGCUGUUCCUGCUGACUUCAAAUGGAAGAAUAACGACAAUCAAUAUUUCUCUCUUUAAGAUUCAGGAGGAAGAGAUAAGAUGAACAGCAAAGUCAUCAAGGUUACUACCUUCCUUUGAGCCACAAUUUCUCCUUCAUUAUUUCUACUGACCAACACUCUCUCUGACAGCACGAUGCCCCUUCAACUCUGCCUCACACUACAGAACUAACUCAGAUUACAGCUCCUUUUGAAAAAAAGACAGUCCUGGAUAGCUGUAAAUACCAGUUUGAUUCCAAAUCACCUCUAAUAAUGGGCAAGGAGAGACUCUACAGAACUGGACAGGAUGCUACAGGUCAACACUAUUAAUAACAACAAAAAAGCGCAGUCUGUAGAAUGUAUCAGCUCAUUUCAAAUCAAUCCCCUAUGACCACUUGAAGGGCUCAAAAUGAGAAGACGGCGUGUCCUACUGACACUUGCAAUGUGUUCAGCAGCAUGCAGAGAUGGUAUAUCAUAAUUUAUAAAAUCAGAGGCUACAGUAAAAGGUGAGGACAGAAGCAUCAGCCCACACGCGCCUUCAGAGAUCAUGGUUAGUUUUCAAGUAGGGCUAGAAGGCCUACAAACAGCAGGGUCCUAGGCUCGCUGCAGGCAAACAUUAACUGAUCAGGCUUUAAGUACACAAGUUUAAUGGACUACAAAUGAAAGCCAAGCACUCCAAUUCUUUUCUCACGCAGCAGCAAUAGCACUGUCUCAGUCUCUCAAUUCUCUAUUACCGUAUAUUUAGUCCAGGUGGGAAUUUGAUGUCUUUAUACAACAAAUGAAGUUGUGCUGGUGUCAAACACACUAAAAUAAAUGCUAACUGUACAUGCCAUACCAUCGCCAAUGAGAAAACAUCUCUAACUUGUUCAGAGGACUUCUAUUCAAAUGCUUUGCCUGAAGCAGUCUCAGGUCUCUAGACUAAAUGAAAUACGUAGAUCACAUGCCUGGAACUUCAGGCAGUUUCUCACCACGUAACUACGAAUCAUCUUCAUACACUCAAAAAGGUGAGCAACACUAACCUAAAGGUAAUUCCUUCUUAAGCAUGCCUUGAUUUGAUAAACAAUAUUUGUUUCUUUGCAAGCCACCGUUUAUUUUGCCAUCCCUCUCAAAAAGAAUGCAUGCCUUUUUCCCCCCAGUUAUUCUCUCUUAUGUUCCCUGUUGUUUCUGCUCUCCUUUUUUAAAGGAGAGGUACUGCUUUGAGAUGUACAACGCCUCCCCAGGUAUAAUCACCCAGCAGUAGUACUACGUUACCAGAGCCCAUGCCAUUGAUUGCACUGAUGAAUAGAAUAAAGACAAAUUAACUAACUGACCUUUUAUUUCAGACACAUGCAAAAAGAAAAGAGGAGAGAACAUUGGCCUGCUGGUCCCAGACGUUCAGGCCAGUACCAAGCAGCCUGUCUGUACAUCAGCACUUGUAACAUUACAGUAAGCUACCAGCAGCCUUUGUACAGCUGUACAAAGCUGGGCAACAGAUCAGCAGCCGCUAUGGAAAACAGCUACUUACAGACUGCAGUAUCAUGCACUGAGACAACCCACUGUAGCAAUGGGUAGUAUCUGUGUUAAGAUAGGAACGUGUUUUCAAGCCUACUGGGUUGCUUUAAAACUUUUACACUACUUCUUUUAUCCUUGGUACUUCAGAAAUGUAAUGCAAACCACGCCGUGGCUGUGGUGCAGUUAUCAGGCAAUGUUAUGGCUGCUUGGACAGCUAAGUUGAUCUAAUGGCUCAGUGUUGUCCACAGGGAUAUCUCUCUUUUCUCAGCUGUUCCCCCCAUCAUGUUCCCUGUCAGCUCACCCUCUGACCAGCCUUCCACGAGCUAACUGAGCACAAAGCAGCUGGAAAUCCAGCAACACAGGAGUUUUUCCUGCCAUUCUAGUGUGUCAGAUUGGUCUACAAGGUGAGCUGUGGAGGUAACAGGGCAGAAGGAAGAGAACAUAAAAAAGGUAGGCCAGGGAUUUCUACAGCAAAUGGAACCUUAAAAGUAGGAGCAAUACCUGGGGAAACAGUACAACAAAACCAAAAAUCAGUUACAAACUGCAGGUGGCAGAACAGUGAUUAUAUCACAGAGCAAAUUUCAGUGCUUAAAGGUUAAAGAGACGCUUAAAAUGAAGCUCCUGUAAGCCACCGCCCUCUCUCCUGCAUCAAAAAGGUACUGAAGAAAGAGGAGGAACAUAAACAGAAGUCCAAAGGAAAAAAAAGUCAUGCAUAUUGCCUGUGGUGUUAGCUAGACGUGUCUGUUACACAGGUCGGCUUUCUUUACCUGAGAUGGCAACUAUAUUCACAGCACAACGUCAGAAAAAAGCUGUAACAAAGCACAGGGCAGUCAGCACAGCACCAACAGGACACGUUGGUGUCACACAGGCUGCAUAUGGGGACACAGACAUGGCUUUCCUGCAGAAAAGCCUAAUGCAGGCUGAAGGAAGAUAAGAACUGAUCAUAGAAUCAGAAUGGCCUGGGUUGAAAAGGGCCACAAUGGUCCUCUGAUUUCACACCCCCUGCUAUGUGCAGGGUCGCCAACCACCAGACCAGACUGCCCAGAGCCACAUCCAGCCUGGCCUUGAAUGCCUCCAGGGAUGGGGCAUCCACAGCCUCCUUGGGCAACCUGUUCCAUUGAGUCACCACUCUCUGGGUAAAAAACUUCAUCCUAAUAUCUAACCUAAACCUCCCCUGUCUCAGUUUAAGACCAUUCCCCCUUGUCCUAUCACUACCCACCCUCAUAAACAGCCGUUCCCCCUCCUGUUUAUACGCUCCCCUCAUCACAAAACAAAUCAGCCUGCACUGCAAUGGCUGCGCUGUUCUAGAAGUUUCUCCUCCAGCCACAUUUCUCCCAGUGAAUGCUUUCACGGGGCGCAAAGAGGGGCCGAGCGUGCUACUGACUCAUCACUCAGCCCUCCCAGGGGAAGAAGGAAGCGAUUUAGGUGCAAACACGGCCUAAGGGGCCACAGACGUUUGGGGCUGCCCGAGGCGGGAGCUCGGGGCGGGGCUGGGUGCGGGCACGGCCUCUCCUCAGCACCCGGGGGUGCUCGGCCGCCUCGGGGAGGCCUGGCCCGACCGCCCGGGCGUCAGUCCGCAUCGAGAGCGAUCCACGCGCUACGGGAGGGCUGUAGGAGAAAGAAUAUAUACCGUUAAUUAUCACAUCAACGCGGGAAACCUGUGCGGGGGGGGACGCGCUUAAACACGCGCCUACAGACACACGUGCACGCACCGCUGUCUCGCUGCGUAGGCGUCCCACCCAGCCCCGCAGUCAGCCAGCGUCACCCAAACAAAGGAACGCGCGCCCUGAGCGCGCAGCUACUGACAUGAAAUACUCAGUCGGCAUUUAGGAACGCGCAAGGCCGCCGUCUCGCCGCUAGUUCGGCGCACGGAGGCGGCACGCGACCCCCCUCAGCCCCCGCCGCACACCGAUACUCACCGACCGCCUCCAGCGGCGCUGCCGCCCAAGCGCGACGCGCGCCGCUUCCGGCCGCCAUGCCGCUCCCGGCAGCCAACGGGCGGGCGAGGGCUGCGCGGCCGCGGCGGGGCGAGCGGCGGAGAAAUGUUUUCACAUGCAAGUUACGUACCUAUUGGCUGCAUGCUUCUGACCAGAUUGUCACUGCAAGGCUGAUGGCUCCUGACAAAAUGGAUGCGGAGUGGGAGACACCAACUGGAAACUUCUGCUUGACAGCUUUAGCUUGCUUGAUGCCUGUCUCUUGCUGUUCAGUGACUGGGCCCCUCAUGUGUGCAGUCAGUGCUGGAGCUUCUUUCCUGCAUCAGAACUCCCAGGCCAGGUCAGUGCUCAGUCUGAUUUGUGUUCUGCU
This 4535-nucleotide long non-coding RNA is filed under the name Gallus gallus (chicken). RNAcentral describes it as "long non-coding RNA NONGGAT001309". Lineage: Eukaryota; Metazoa; Chordata; Aves; Galliformes; Phasianidae. The record is from RNAcentral.